Molecule: ribosomal RNA, 496 nt
Filed under: uncultured bacterium
Lineage: Bacteria
Description: partial 16S ribosomal RNA
Rfam family: Bacterial small subunit ribosomal RNA
Source: RNAcentral
AUGAACGCUGGCGGCGUGCCUAAUACAUGCAAGUCGAGCGAACAGACGAGGAGCUUGCUCCUCUGACGUUAGCGGCGGACGGGUGAGUAACACGUGGAUAACCUACCUAUAAGACUGGGAUAACUUCGGGAAACCGGAGCUAAUACCGGAUAAUAUAUUGAACCGCAUGGUUCAAUAGUGAAAGACGGUUUUGCUGUCACUUAUAGAUGGAUCCGCGCCGCAUUAGCUAGUUGGUAAGGUAACGGCUUACCAAGGCAACGAUGCGUAGCCGACCUGAGAGGGUGAUCGGCCACACUGGAACUGAGACACGGUCCAGACUCCGACGGGAGGCAGCAGUAGGGAAUCUUCCGCAAUGGGCGAAAGCCUGACGGAGCAACGCCGCGUGAGUGAUGAAGGUCUUCGGAUCGUAAAACUCUGUUAUUAGGGAAGAACAAAUGUGUAAGUAACUAUGCACGUCUUGACGGUACCUAAUCAGAAAGCCACGGCUAACUACGUG